GACGAACGCUGGCGGCGUGCUUAACACAUGCAAGUCGAACGGAAAGGCCCUGCUUUUUUGUGGUGCUCGAGUGGCGAACGGGUAAGUAACACGUGAGUAACCUGCCCUUGACUUUGGGAUAACUUCAGGAAACUGGGGCUAGUACCGGAUAGGAGCUCCUGCUGCAUGGUGGGGGUUGGAAAGUUUAGGCGGUUGGGGAUGGACGGGCGGCUAAUCAGCUUGUUGGUUGGGUAGUGGCUUACCAAGGCUUUGACGGGUAGCCGGCCUGAGAGGGUGACCAGGGCCCAUAGGACUACGAUACGCAGCAGAGUGGUACUGUGGACAGUAGGGGGGAGCAUGAUCCAGUGAGCCGAAGCGUGAUGCAGAGACCUUCCGUGCGUAAUGACGUCUUGCAGGUAGUAAAAAGCUUCCGCCUGAGACCAAGCGUGCGUGACGGUACUGGGAAAAGAAGCACCGGCUAACUACGUG
This 468-nucleotide ribosomal RNA is filed under the name uncultured bacterium. Its description in RNAcentral is "partial 16S ribosomal RNA". It matches the Rfam family "Bacterial small subunit ribosomal RNA", at positions 28 to 507 of the family's 1533-position model. The record is from RNAcentral.